Molecule: long non-coding RNA, 539 nt
Organism: Passer domesticus (house sparrow)
Lineage: Eukaryota; Metazoa; Chordata; Aves; Passeriformes; Passeridae
Exons: 5
Source: RefSeq, a predicted model, not a curated record
GGAUUCAGGAACUUGUCCUGAAGUCUGUGAGAGAAUUUAUUAUCAUCAGAAUACCUCUAUUUUUUGGUUGCUUGUUAGAGAACUGUUGACAGCAGAGAAGACGAGAGAUGUGUGUACAUACAGAAGAGAGCUCACUGAAGAAUUGUUUGGCAUUAAAAGCAGGCUGUUUGUGAAUAAGACACCUGAAUAAUGACUCUGAAAUUGUUAUUUUUAUGCAAAUAUGGUUAUGAUGAUGAGGAUGAAUAUACAAAUUAAUGAAGCCUGAUACAGGAAUGAGAAUUAUUUAAUCCAGCAAAAGCUGCAAACAGUAUUUCUAAUCUUUCAAAGGAAUUGCAGGUGAUAAAGGGCUCCCUUGAAAAACAUGCAAAAUUUAUCUACCAGUAGAGUUAGUGAGAAUGUUGCUUUUAACAACUGAGGGAAUAAUUCUGAGAGCAUCUGUCCUCGUUUCAGUUAAGAGGGAGCAACUUUGGAGAACUUGUUGUUAUUGUUAUAAAGAGAAGAAACAAAACAAGGAAGUCAGACUAUGUCAUCCACAAGGU